RNAcentral lists this ribosomal RNA (478 nucleotides) under uncultured bacterium. Its description in RNAcentral is "partial 16S ribosomal RNA". It matches the Rfam family "Bacterial small subunit ribosomal RNA", at positions 28 to 507 of the family's 1533-position model. The record is from RNAcentral.
GAUGAACGCUGGCGGCGUGCUUAACACAUGCAAGUCGAACGGGAAUUCUUUUAUUGAACCUUCGGUCGAUUUGAUUUAAUUGUAGUGGCGGCCGGGUGAGUAACGCGUGGGUAACCUGCCUUAUACAGGGGGAUAACAGUCAGAAAUGGCUGCUAAUACCGCAUAAGCGCACAGAGCUGCAUGGCUCGGUGGGCAAAACUCCGGUGGUAUAAGAUGGACCCGCGUUGGAUUAGCUGGGUGGUAGGGUAACGGCCCACCAAGGCGACGAACCAUAGCCGGCCUGGGAGGGUGAACGGCCAGAUUUGGACUGAGACACGGACCAGACUCCUACGCGAGGGAGCAGAGGAGAAUAUUGCACGAUGGAGGAAACCCUGAUGCAGCGACGCCGCGUGAAGGAAGAAGUAUCUCGGUAUGUAAACUUCUAUCAGCAGGGAAGAUAGUGACGGUACCUGACGAAGAAGCCCCGGCUAACUACGUG